UACGAAGGGGGCUAGCGUUGCUCGGAAUCACUGGGCGUAAAGGGUGCGUAGGCGGGGCUUUAAGUCCGGGGUGAAAUCCUGGAGCUCAACUCCAGAACUGCCUUUGAUACUGAAGAUCUUGAGUUCGGGAGAGGUGAGUGGAACUGCGAGUGUAGAGGUGAAAUUCGUAGAUAUCGGGAGGAACACCGGUGGCGAAGGCGGCGGCCUGGGUUGACACUGACGCUGAGGCGCGAAAGCCAGGGGAGCAAACGGG
This 253-nucleotide ribosomal RNA is filed under the name uncultured bacterium. RNAcentral's name for it is "partial 16S ribosomal RNA". It matches the Rfam family "Bacterial small subunit ribosomal RNA", at positions 524 to 776 of the family's 1533-position model. The record is from RNAcentral.